Molecule: ribosomal RNA, 462 nt
Filed under: uncultured bacterium
Lineage: Bacteria
Description: partial 16S ribosomal RNA
Rfam family: Bacterial small subunit ribosomal RNA
Source: RNAcentral
GACGAACGCUGGCGGCGUGCUUAACACAUGCAAGUCGAACGGUGAAGCCCUUCGGGGUGGAUCAGUGGCGAACGGGUGCGUAACACGUGAGCAACCUGCCCCUGGCUCUGGGACAACCACUGGAAACGGUGGCUAAUACCGGAUACGACCCGCCUCGGCAUCGAGUGUGGGUGGAAAGUUUUUCGGCUGGGGAUGGGCUCGCGGCCUAUCAGCUUGUUGGUGAGGUGAAGGCUCACCAAGGCGACGACGGGUAGCCGGCCUGAGAGGGCGACCGGCCACACUGGGACUGAGACACGGCCCAGACUCCUACGGGAGGCAGCAGUGGGGAAUAUUGCACAAUGGGCGAAAGCCUGAUGCAGCGACGCCGCGUGAGGGAUGACGGCCUUCGGGUUGUAAACCUCUUUCAGCCCCGAAGAAGCGAAAGUGACGGUAGGAGCAGAAGAAGCACCGGCUAACUACGUG